GAUUGUUGACGGGAACCUGAAGAUGACCCUGGGCAUGAUCUGGACCAUCAUCCUUCGCUUCGCCAUCCAGGACAUCUCUGUGGAAGAAACCUCAGCCAAGGAAGGCUUGCUUCUGUGGUGCCAGAGGAAGACAGCACCGUACCGCAACGUCAACGUGCAGAACUUCCACACCAGCUGGAAGGAUGGCCUGGCCCUCUGUGCCCUCAUCCACCGACACCGCCCUGACCUCAUCGACUACGCCAAACUGCG
Molecule: long non-coding RNA, 249 nt
Filed under: Homo sapiens (human)
Lineage: Eukaryota; Metazoa; Chordata; Mammalia; Primates; Hominidae
Description: long non-coding RNA NONHSAT140026.2
Source: RNAcentral